This 1227-nucleotide long non-coding RNA is filed under the name Canis lupus familiaris (dog). RNAcentral's name for it is "lncRNA (ENSCAFG00845026978.1)". The record is from RNAcentral. Lineage: Eukaryota; Metazoa; Chordata; Mammalia; Carnivora; Canidae.
GUUGGACGUUUGCAAGCAGGUCACUUGAUAAUUGAUACUUGUCCCAAAGGAAUUAGCAACGAUUUAGUAUUUCAUGUGACCCUCUUUGGGGUUCGUGAUUUAGGAGAAAGAUUUAAGAAAAACCAAAGCUCUGAAACAAGCAAAACCUGGGAAACCCAAGAUAAAGUUUCAGAGAUGAUAUCCCAUGCAACAGAGGCAGCGGUGCCAAAAAAUUAGAAAGGGAAAGUGUCUAAGAUCAGCUUCUACAAGGACAUCUGCCAAUUGGACAGAAGCCCAAGCAGAAUGAAGUCAAAUUAGGCCAGAGUGAACUCUCGCAGCGGCAGGGCUUCCGUGCUCUGUGUCGAAAUCAGGCCCAAGGAAGGGUUCGAUGGGUAUGUCUGUACAGCCAGGGAACCCACCACUCCUCACUAUUUUACUAGAAGUCUUUUAGGUCAAUUUGUAGGACUCUGUGUCCCCUCUGAUCGCUCUGAUUGGCGAGGCCUAGUUCUAAUCUUCUCUAGCCUUGCCUUGGAAUUGGCUGAAAAAAACCGUGUGCUCCUCAAGGAACAGACAGUUAUAAUCAGAUUCUCCCCAAGAAUUAACUUGUGAUGACCAUGAAUGUAAUUACAUUUUGAUCGUGCAGAUCAUGUUUUUAAAUUAAUACCAGUUAUCUAUCACUCCUUCCACUUUAAAAAUCUUUCCAUUCCUUUUCAUGCCUAUCCCUGUUGCUCUUGCAUAGGUAAGAGUCGUUAGUAUUAGAACCAACCUAGGAGGGCAGGGUGAUCUCUGUCCUCCAGCCACCCUUCACCCUCACUUGGCAUGGAGGUGGGGGGGACAGACAGCACUGUCUUAACAUCUUCAUGAUAAUAACCCUUGUUUUCUCAUCUCCAAAUACUCUAGAGGAGAGUGUGUGGUUAUUGCAUAAGAAUUUCCACCCAUAUUGACAAUUCAAUCCAUUCUAUUGAUUUUUCUGCUUCAUUGGUUCUGAUUUUCUUUGUUAAAAUGGUUUUCAGUGGUAUCAACUCAAAUGUGUUCUCUUGCAUGUUUUAUAUGUAUAUAAACUACAUAUACACAAACGUAAAUAAAUACACAUAUAAUAUGUAUAAAAACAUACAAAGAUAUGUGAUAUAACAUCUGUAUACAUGAUGGUAUUUUCAGCUUCAGUUUAGUUUCAAAGAUUUUGUAAUAGUUGAGGACUCUGACCUUGGCAGCUCAUUUGAGAGACAGAAUAUUAUUACAUACAUUCUA